CAAGAAAUCGAAAUCGGCUGUCGGCCAUCUUUAACCUUGCCUUCAGCUCUUUAAGUGCACGAGGAUUCUCGCUGACAGAAAGAAAAAAAAAUCGCUGACAAUGGAAACACUCCGGGUCAACAUCUAGGGAAGUAUUGCAGGGAAGUGUCUCAAUUAGGAAAUAUACCCUUCUGAAUUACUAAUGGACAUAGAAGAUAAAUCUAACCAAAGCAAGUCGAAAUAAAAGAGAUUACCAAGGAAUGGGAACACUUGUUUCACAUAAUAGAGUUGUACUGACAACUGAAAACCAAUAAAACAGAGACCACCUCUCUGAAAUGAGCACAGUUAAGGAUCACGUGCAGUCCGUUGGCCAGUAGCUGUCUUCUACAUUUCUUGGCACAGACAGGUAUGAUGUCCUGGAUGGCAUCCACAAGUCAACUGGUCUUUAGUCAUAAGAGCUCAAUGCAUCAAGUCUCUUGUUGAGCUGGCCUCUUAAUCCAGACUGGAGAGCAACAGAAAAAGCAGAGCCAGGGCCUGAGGACCUCAGCUGGGAGCAGUCACCAGGGGCGCUGCGGCUGCUCCUCUGUGCAGUGGCUU
Molecule: long non-coding RNA, 576 nt
Organism: Echinops telfairi (small Madagascar hedgehog)
Lineage: Eukaryota; Metazoa; Chordata; Mammalia; Afrosoricida; Tenrecidae
Exons: 5
Source: RefSeq, a predicted model, not a curated record